UACGGAGGGUGCAAGCGUUAUCCGGAUUCACUGGGUUUAAAGGGCGCGUAGGCGGCUUAUCAAGUCAGGCGUGAAAUUCCCGGGCUCAACCUGGGGGCUGCGCUUGAUACUGAUGAGCUUGAAUGCGGGAGAGGAUAGUGGAAUUCCCAGUGUAGAGGUGAAAUUCGUAGAUAUUGGGAAGAACACCGGUGGCGAAGGCGGCGCUCUGGACCGAGACUGACGCUGAGGCGCGAAAGCGUGGGGAGCAAACAGG
This 253-nucleotide ribosomal RNA is filed under the name uncultured bacterium. Its description in RNAcentral is "partial 16S ribosomal RNA". It matches the Rfam family "Bacterial small subunit ribosomal RNA", at positions 524 to 776 of the family's 1533-position model. The record is from RNAcentral.